AAAGGUAACAACAAAGCUGCUCUCAGUCAAUGAGCGAGGAUAGCGACGAGGCUACCAGGUCGGCAGCAUAGUCCGGGGGCGCGAAACGGAGCAGGAUUCCCGUGAGAGAACGGUCGACGGAGAGGUCAUCAGGGGAGCUCGCUGGCCAGGAGGAACGACGCGAGGUGGACGCGGUGUUGUGACGAGGCGCGCCUACCGUACUGAUCUGAUAUAAGAGAGCGUUCAAUUUCUUUUUUUACACCGCAGUUUGAUGCAAUUUCUAAGUAAUUUUACACGCAAUAUAGAGCGUGAGCGUGAGCCUAUGUUCCCCGACGGAAAACUACGAGUGCGAGAUGUCGUUUUUCCGAAGGCUACUGGAAGAUGCUAAACAAUGAUCAUUAUGCGUCCUUCGUGUUUCGAUUCGACGCCUCAAGGCUCGCACGUCUAAGCGUAUGCGAGCGUAUUGUCGGAAGUCAAGAGAUCUGGUCGACGCUCUGGACGCUGGCUUCGCUCGUCACCGAUAAAAAUGAAAGCAUCGCGGCCCGAUGGAAGGGCAGUGACGUGGACGGCGCGGCGCGUUCGGAGAGCGAGAGGAGACAAAGCGAGAAAACGGCGAGAUCGGUCGAGCGAUUCGACAGAGGGAGAAAGACGACGACAGGCAAUGGUAAUAUCGCGAGUGGGAGAGACGUGAACUCUCAUUACUCGCAACCGUACCGUACAGGAUGCCUCAAAAGUCGCCUGGCUUCUUUCGGGGCCUAUACGAUCGCUCGAAUCCCAAGACGAUGCUAUAUAGCUGUCGCUGCGAAGGAUUAUUAUUAUUAGCGUUCCUGUGUCACAAUUACUUUCCCUACUCUCGCUUGCUCUCCUCUUCCCUUUCUUUCAACGUAAUAAUAAUAUUUUAUUAUUAUUGUGAUUAUAUCACGACUGUGUGUUACUACGUGAACUAACGUGUACCAAAUUAUUUCCGCAUAUAGCGCGGGCGGUACGCCGCGACGCGAGCCGAGAAAGUAGCCAAAUAGAUGCGAACCGGUUCGCAAUCCUUCUGCUAACCGUGGAAAAAAAGGGAAAGAGGAGCCGGAGGGAGGAAGAGAGAGAAUGUGAUGUAGACACCUCGUUGAAAGAGAAAGAUAACGCGCGACGGUCAUCGCGAUACUUCGGUAGCGUUCGUUCAUUUAUAUGCCAACGUCUCCGUAUCACGGAGAUCUUGAUCGCGCGCGAUCAUAAUCUUUCGCGCACUUGAUCGUUGAACGUCGAGUGUGGAGUGUGGGUCACCGGAAUGAUAGGAGAACGGUUUGUUACGUUGUUUGAUCAUGGUGAUAGGUUGUAGUUUCAGCUCAGAAACGUACAGAUUGCGCGUUAUUAGCGGUUCGAGAGCCAUACCGGAAACGGUCGCUCCGAGCACAAUCGCUGCCAGCGAAAGAACGCGCGAGAUACCGCGGAGAUAAUUAAAAAAUAAUUAAGUUCAUUUACGUUCUUUGAUUUUCUGGGACGCUGCAAGAAAUUAGCAUGGAGUUUAUCGGGGAAAUCAGAAAAGUGCAUGUCUUUUUUAUCACACACACAAUGGAAACUUUAAAUUUCUAAAUCCAAAUCUCAAAAUUUUGUAGAUUGCGAUAUCAAACAAAAGAAUUUUAAGAUAUCGUUAUAUAAUGAAAUAUAGAUUAUUCAAUAAUAUAUCGGCAUGCACAUCUAUAUUUGUUUACUCUUUUAAUAAUUCGCGAUAUUGAUACCAAUAUCUUGUUUCGUAAUAAUGAGAUAUAAUAACGUGCAGAAGUGUUUAUGUUUAUCUUUUCUCGUAAUCACUCGUAAUCGAACGGAAAUUUGUUACAUCACAGAUGAUUGUGACAUAAAUAACAAAUUUAAAUGUAUUUUGCAGUUGAAUAUCAAAUAUCUCAUCUUAACCGUCGCAAAUUAAAUGUAUUUUGCAGUUGAAUAUCAAAUGUCUCAUCUUAACCGUCGCAAAUUAAAUGCUUUACACUAAACGCCGGACAUAAACGAUCGCGAUAAAUCCUCGUGAAAACACACGCUAUACACCCAUCUCCCUCGCAUUUCUUCACGAAGAAAGACAUAAAAGAGCGCAGCUUCUCGCCUUCUAAUUUCCCCCUUCUCCCUUUCGCCUCGGAAUGGAGAGUUUGAUUUCUUGCACGCUCGCGUCUCUCCCCGCCAAGCUAAUUCUGCUCUCUAUCUCAAAGGGAAAAAAGAGAGAAAAAAAAUAGGAGGGAGAAAAACUAUCAUAAUGAUACCGAAUUAGCGUCGCGUCCUAAUCGGUGGACCGUAUUAGAGAUGUGUCAGAAAGCGGCGGGUCGAGGCCGAUGAAAUAUUCCCAUCGGCUCUCGCAUUCUAAACUAUCGUAACCCUGGCACGAUCCACAUCCACGCUCCAUUCGUCUCGCGGAAUUGUCGACCAGCACCGUCACAGGCGUCACAGCAUCGCCCGCGUUCAUAAUUUGCAUCUCCCUUCCUUCCUCCUGUUCCCUCCCCCUCCCCCCCCCUCGAUACCGUUUAUAGCGUUUCCGAAGGAGAAAUCGAAACGGUAAAAUUCAGAUGACGAGGAUGAAUCCAAUUCGAGAGACACGCCUUCUUAAAAAUUUUUUAGAUUCUCCACGAAAGAAUAAUGUUUGAGGAUCUCUUAGAUGCCUCUAGAAAACCUGGUGCGUCUCUUCUAAUCGCGGUUAAUAGAAAUCUAUUAUUUGCAGUGAAUUAAACGGCGCACGCGAGCGUGCGGAUAACGCAGACCUCUCGCGACUUGAGCCGAGCGGUUGUCUUUACACGCAAUCAAUGGUUCUCGCGCAAUAUAAGGAAAGAACAAAAAAAAAGAAAAUA
Long non-coding RNA from Temnothorax curvispinosus, 2798 nucleotides. RefSeq lists it as uncharacterized. The record is from RefSeq and is a predicted model, not a curated record. The transcript is spliced from 3 exons. NCBI's taxonomy places the organism in Eukaryota, Metazoa, Arthropoda, Insecta, Hymenoptera, Formicidae.